RNAcentral lists this unclassified non-coding RNA (3374 nucleotides) under Saccoglossus kowalevskii. Its description in RNAcentral is "coiled-coil domain-containing protein 147-like, transcript variant X1". The record is from RNAcentral. Lineage: Eukaryota; Metazoa; Hemichordata; Enteropneusta; Harrimaniidae.
GAACAAACAGAUUUCGAGUCACCAUUGAUCAGCUGAAACACGAACUUCAACAUUUUGUUAAUAACAUCGUCACUUUAAAGGCUAAUUGACGUUUCUGGUAUUACUAGAAAUGUCUGAGGAUAAAAAGAAAGAACCGUCGAAGGAGGAGCCCAAGGGGGACAAGACAGCUCUCGAGGAAAAUGCGUUCGAGGCGCUGGAGAAAGACUUCCAGGAAGUCUUGAACGAGCUGAUGGGCGACAGAAGUUUGGAGAAAUUUCGUAUGGAAUAUGAGAAAUUGCACCGUGCGCUGAAGAAGUCUCAUGAAAGUGAGAAACGUCUUAUGCAAAAAUGUCGAGAGUUGAACGCCGAAAUUGUCGCAAACUCUGCCAAAGUGUCCACAGCGCUGAAACUGUCCCAAGAAGACCAGACAACAAUUGCCUCUCUCAAAAAGGAAAUUGAGAAAGCAUGGAAAAUGGUGGAUGCAUCUCAUGAGAAAGAACAACGUGCAAGGGAAACUAUUCAGUCUUUGAAGAUGGAGAUUGCAAAUUUGAGCAAGCUAGUAGAACAAGGUGCUGGUCUCUCAAUGGGUCAAGAACACAGCGUUAAUGAAUUACUCAAAGCUAAGGAAGAUCUCACCAAAGAAAGGGAUGAACAGUUGAAUGAGAUUGUGAAGCUACGCGAAGCUUUAACUGAGGCUAAUAAUAGAAUGGCCAAGGCUGAGAAAGAUAAAGAUGAUGCAGAAUCUAAGAUAGCUGAGUUGAACCAAGAUAUCCAGGUGCGAAGCAAUGAAGCCCAGCGCGAGUCUCGUAGAAAAGACAAACUGGAGAGGGAGUUGAAACAAUCCAAAGCUGAACAAGAAACCAAAGCGUCUGAAAUUAAAACAAUGUCAACACAGCUUGGAAAGUACAAGGAGGAUGUUUCAAAGUUGGAAACACAGCUGAAGGAGAAUAGGAUUCUCUAUGAGCGUGCUCAGAAAGAUAGCGAUAUAUUGAAUGCCCGGUUUACCAAACUGCAGACUGAUUACGAGCAACAACUUAUUAACGCUGAUACACUAGCUCAAGAAAACCAACAGAGAGUUGCUGAACUUAGAGCUAAAGAAGAUGAGAUCAAUGCAUUGAAACAGGACACUAUUCGUCUUAGUAAGAUGCGUGAAACCAUCCAGCGUAGACUGCGUUCAGUGGAAGAUCAGAAAGCUGAGACUGAACAACAAAAAGAGACUCUAAAGAGUCAGAUUGUUGGUCUUGAAAGAGAAAUUGAAGCUGGUAAAAAACAGCAAGAAAUGGACAGGAAAGCCAUCGACGACCUUGUGCGUGAACGUGAUAUCCUGAAUAAGAACAUGUUGAAGGCUGCCAGCGCUACGCAGAAACAACUGAGCUUGGUGAAAUUGCACGAACAGUCCAAGAAGAAUCUGGAACAAGAAAUCCAGAACUACAAGGAAGAAGCCCAGAAGCAGCGUAAGAUAAUCUAUCAGUUGGAGAAAGAGCGUGAUCGUUACAUUAAUGAAGCCAGCGAACUUACUCAGAAGGUUUUACAACACAUGGAGGAUGUGAAAGUCCGUGAAAUGCAGAUCUUUGAUUACAAGAAGAAAAUUGCUGAAGCCGAAACCAAGUUGAAACAGCAGCAGAAUUUGUACGAGGCUGUACGCAGUGAUCGUAACUUGUACAGCAAGAACCUGAUAGAAUCCCAGGAUGAGAUUACAGAAAUGAAGAGGAAGUUGAAAAUCAUGAACCAUCAAAUUGAUCAACUCAAGGAAGAGAUCACUGCUAAAGAAGCCGCUCUGGUCAAAGAGCAUCUGGAUCAUCAGCGGGUUGAGAAAGAGAAAGAGGCUCUAAAGAUGGAGCUUCAGAGGAUGAAACAACAAGCUGCUGAGAACAAGGCUUACAUCGAAUCGCAGGAGGCAGAGGAACGUAAACUCCUCAAGAUCAUCUCUGAAGCUGAUGCUGAAAGACUGCGACAGAAGAAGGAACUAGAUCAAGUAAUAAGUGAGAGAGACAUUCUGGGUACUCAACUUGUACGUCGUAAUGAUGAGCUGGCCUUGCUGUAUGAGAAAAUCAAAAUCCAACAGUCAACUCUGAAUAAAGGUGAGAUCCAGUACCGACAACGCUUGGAGGAUGUACGCCUGCUCAAACUUGAGAUCAAAAAGCUGCGUAGGGAGAAGAAUAUUCUUAAUAAAAGUGUGGCAAAUGUUGACGACUUGAGGCGAGAAGUCUAUCAUUUGCAGCGAGAACUUCUCCGCGAGAGAACACGUUGUAAGGCACUGGAGGAGGAACUAGAGAAUCCAAUGAACAUCCAUCGCUGGCGUAAACUCGAAGGCAGUGAUCCCAGCACAUACGAAAUGAUACAGAAAAUCCAAACAUUGCAGCGCCGUUUGAUUCAGAAGACUGAGGAGGUAGUGGAGAAGGAAUUGUUGAUUCAAGAGAAAGAAAAGUUGUACGUUGAAUUGAAACAUAUCCUGGCAAGACAACCUGGGCCUGAAGUCGCUGAACAGUUGCAGAUCUAUCAGCAAACACUCAAAGAAAAAACAAAACAAAUGAAAGUGAGCAAUGUCUUCUGAAUUAAACAUGUACGAAUCUCAAGCUAACGAGUAUAAAUAUGAAAUAGAGAGACUUGCUAGAGAGCUGCAAGAAGCUAAGAAAAAAUACUUCAUCCAGAAAAGAAAAGAGCAGCAACAAAGGGAGCGUGAAAGAGCUUUAGCACAGGCUGGUGCUCCAGUUAUUCAACCUCAGCGACACGACGGACCAAGGUUCACCGGUGGAGGAUUUAAUCUCAAACCAAAAGAACUCAAAGCAUCUUAAAACUAAUUUACAAUUAAUAUCAGAUGCAACAUUCUUCAUUUGGACUUUGAUUUAUUUGUGCUACAUGAAACCCAUGUAUCUGCUCCCUCUGGAAUUGUUUUAUAUUAAUUAAACUACAACAAGCUAUACUGUUUGGUUGUUGUGGUUCAUUAUGUGAUGUUACUUCAUGUUAUGUUGAAGCUGUGCAUUCUUACUUCGAUCAAAAUGCAGUAUGGAGUACUUUUGAUUUCCCUGUGAGGAGAUUGUGAAGUCUUUACUGCUGUCUGUAGGCUAAUAUGUGCCAAAUUUUGUUGUGUGAAUAUGCGUCAGUUAUAAGAUACCUGGUUGAAAUAACUUGGAAAGUCAAUAACAAUAAUACAUACACAGGGUAUUGCCAUAAUUGAUUAUUAUGAUUAUUAAGAUUCUCCUGGUAUAUGCUUCUGAAUGUUUUCUGAUACACAAUUUUCAGUUAACGAAUUACGCAGCUUGAUGUAAUUAGGAACAGUAGAUUAACAUUUUAUUUCCCACUAUACUAGAUGCGUAUAUUCACACUUUGAAAUGUGUUACCGGUGUAUACUGGUCCUGAGACAUCGAUAAACCUGUUGUAAUCCCCUUGGUGUG